AUCCCGAUGAUGAGUCCAUAAUAGGGCGAAACAUGCGUCCUGGAU
Non-coding RNA from Schistosoma rodhaini, 45 nucleotides. The record is from Rfam. Lineage: Eukaryota; Metazoa; Platyhelminthes; Trematoda; Strigeidida; Schistosomatidae.